Dendrobium catenatum is the source of this 2867-nucleotide long non-coding RNA. RefSeq lists it as uncharacterized. The record is from RefSeq and is a predicted model, not a curated record. NCBI's taxonomy places the organism in Eukaryota, Viridiplantae, Streptophyta, Magnoliopsida, Asparagales, Orchidaceae. The transcript is spliced from 2 exons.
UAACACUCUGGUUCGGCCAAAUUUACGGGAUUCGGCCGAAGAAGUGCGCGAAUAGGGAGAAAGUUACCUUCACUUCCAGCGAGCUCCUCUGCUUGCUUCCGAACAAAAUGUCGUAACCUCCAAUCCGACAGGAAAGGCGAGGCGUCGGAGGAGCAAAGUCGCUCAGCCACGAAGGAACGGCGGAAGAGGGAAAGUUCCUGCACAGCGAGCGAGCUCCCGGUCUUGCCUCCGAUCCAACAGAAGGGUAAGUCGUUGGGGUGAGCGAAGUCGACCGGAGACGGAGGAGCCGAAUAGGGAGAUAGUUACCUCCUCAGCGAUCGAGCUCCAAUCGUUGCUUCCUAUCAAAUGUUGUAACUUCCGACCCCGCAGGAGGGAAGUCGUCGAAUGGAGAAAUCGAACGGCACUGGAGGAGGGGUCGGAGAUGGGAUGAGUUAUUGGGUCAGGUGACCGGAGGCGACGUGGGGGAUGCGACGUCGAUGGUGCGAGCGACGUGCGACCUGCUUCGACGACGUGUGGAGAUGUCCGGGCAGUGAACUUGCCCACAACUCGCAUGCCACCGAUGUCAACAACAGGUCCCAAGAUAACACUAGAGAUUCUGUCAAGGGAUCUCUUGUGUACUAUCCUUGCAUGAUCCGAAACAAGAUUCCAAGCAAGCAAUUCGAUGAUGAUUCAAGUCAACAAAGAAAAAAAUUUGUUUGGCCCGCUCCAAAAUCCAACGGUCCUAGUUCACUGAUAAAUGAUGAUCAUUUAACCCAAAGAAAAAUAUUCAACCAACAGAAGGCAUAUUACUCAAACAAGGGUGCUUUAGUUGCACCUAAACAGGGUAUGGGAGCUUGGGUUUGACCCGACUCAUAUUUGUAGCCCUAGGUUGUGCCAAACGAAGGAAAGGAGAGAUGUGCAGUUUAAGGUUGGGGACAUGAUUUAUUUGAAGAUCUGACCUUCCAGACAAAGGACUUUGACUCAAUGAAGGAAUGAGAAGCUCUCCCCCGCUACUUUAGGCCCUACGAGGUAGUAGAGCGCAUUGAAUCAGUAGCAUAUCGCCUGUGAUUGCCACCGACUUCAGUCAUCCAACCCAUAUUUCAUGUAUCACAACUGAGACAAGCCAUUGGAAACCACACAACCUCGCCCCGCACUACUGAUAACACUGUCAGAGAAUAUGGAGGUGAAAGGGGUGCGCCAAGGAGAUAAGGGGAUCAAGGAGAUGCUAAUCUAGUGGAAGGAUUUACCAAAAUAUGAGGCGACAUAAGAACCCUACAGUACUAUUCAGAAGCAAUUUCCCUUUUUUGAACUUGAGGACAAUGUGACUCUUUGGGAUGAGAGUAUUGAUGCAGUUGGCAGCAAUAGUCUUGUUGUCCAUGUGAGGCCUAGAACCUCCUUUAUCACCUAUAGAAGAAGAGGUUCUGGGAGGAAACUCUUUGGGAAAGGGGGGACUCUUUGGGAAAGAUGUAAGGGGCAUUUAUUAGGGGAUUUGAGCUGUUUAAGAGGGGAGAUUAUGGUGGGUUAGGGUUUUUUAUGUGAUAUUUGAAAUUUCUGCAGCAGUUUUUGUGAGGUGUUUGGGUUCCUAGUAGCUGCUAGUAAUUGUGGGAGAGACGAUUCACCUCUCGAACAGUGAAUCAACUUGUAUCUUGUCUUACUUUGCUUGCAAAUUUGUAAAAACAGCUCUCUUUGUGUUAUUUCUGGAUCUAUUGGAAAUAAGUUGUUGUUUUUUAUAUUGUCAUACGUUGUUUUGAUCAUUAAGACCUAUCACUCGGCCACUCCAUCGCUUGGCAAGACACUGGCCGAAUGAAUGCCCAAGAAACCCUUCCACUUUGUUAAUUACUUGUGUAUCUUCUUUAAUUUUCUUAUCUUUAUCUUUUUAAUUUGUUAGGGUACCUAAGGCACUAUAUUAUUUAGAUAUUCUCUAUGGCUUGUACUCUUGGUCUCAAAAAUCUAUUUUUGAACACUAGUAUUAGUUUUAUGUCUUAUUUUAAAAUUUAUGUUCCUAUGGUUUUAUAUUUUAACAAUCUUAAAAAUAUCACUCUUUAAUGCCUACUUGAAUUGUUAGUCAUGCAUUUUGUAGAUUCAUAUAUUGAUCCUUAAAUUUAAUAUUGAUCAUACUAUUAUUAUUGCAUUGUUUCAUAUAUCUUUUUGUUCAUUUUUAUUAUCAGAUUAAGCUUUAAAAACACAUCCAAUCAUCAUGUUAAGUUCCUCGUUAAAUCUCAUAAUCAUUUAAAUCCUAUAUCUUGAAAAUAACACUCAAACAGUUAACCAAAAUUUAACUCAAUUUAAUAGAUAACAUUCCAAACAAUAGUAAAGAUGUAAUACUUUUAGGAUUUAGUAAAUCCUACUUGUAGUCAAACAGCCCCCAAUCUCAGUAUGACUUAUUAAAAAAUAAAUGUUUGGAUAAAAAUGAAUAAACAUUUUCAUUCAUCACAAAAAAAAAAAAAUCAAUCUUUAGAAUACAAAAAGUGAUCCUUCAAAAGCAGCAAGAUCACACUGACAGCUAGAAGCAUCAUACAAUUAUAGCACAUCGCCAAUAAUACAAUUUCAUAUUUUCAAAUAAUAAUAGCCCAUUUUCCAGGAAAAAAACCUUCAUCUGAUAAACAAGGCGUUGCGUCGAACAAUCCGAAGCAGCAUUACUUCCACUUUGUCCAACCAAGCCAGAAGAAAUAAAGGGCAAAAAAACUAAAUAAAAGAACAAAGAAUUUCAACCUUGCUCAUUCCAAUCAAUCUCAUCGCCUAAAAUGAAGCCAAUAAAAAAAUAUUACAAUUAACAAAACAACAUGAGAAAUGGAAAAAUCGCAAUAUUCUCCCAAUUGUCAGACAGACUAAAAGCAGCAGAGCCCUCUUGGAUCCAAACAAAGACAGAUACAGUAUAAAAAAAAAAA